AUACGGAGGAUCCGAGCGUUAUCCGGAUUUAUUGGGUUUAAAGGGUGCGUAGGUGGUUUGAUAAGUCAGCGGUGAAAGUUUGCAGCUUAACUGUAAAAAUGCCGUUGAAACUGUCGGACUUGAGUGUAAAUGAGGUAGGCGGAAUGCGUGGUGUAGCGGUGAAAUGCAUAGAUAUCACGCAGAACUCCGAUUGCGAAGGCAGCUUACUAAGCUACAACUGACACUGAAGCACGAAAGCGUGGGGAUCAAACAGGAUUAGAUACCCUGGUAGUCCACGCAGUAAACGAUGAUUACUAGCUGUUUGCGAUACACAGUAAGCGGCACAGCGAAAGCGUUAGGUAAUCCACCUGGGGAGUACGCCGGCAACGGUGAAACUCAAAUGAAUUGGCGGGG
Molecule: ribosomal RNA, 393 nt
Filed under: uncultured bacterium
Lineage: Bacteria
Description: partial 16S ribosomal RNA
Rfam family: Bacterial small subunit ribosomal RNA
Source: RNAcentral